CUGCCCUUAUGGGAGUGUUUGGAGGCUCAGCACCAGAAGCCGAAGGGACAUAAGACUCUAUAAAGCAAAUGUUUGUGGAUAUUUCUGUAUAUACUGAAUGCUCAUGGGACUGUUACAGUCAUCUGGCCUCAUCGUGUGGCAAAUCCAGAAUACGAUGGCUGAACAAGAGUUCAACAGACUUGGUACUUCAGCAGGAGCUGCAAAGCUAACUGAAAGCAUACAAGAAAAGGAAGAGAUGACCUAUCUUUCUAUAUGCACCCUUUCCUCUCCGCUGGCUGUAGGAGCCAAGACAUACAGG
This 298-nucleotide long non-coding RNA is filed under the name Numida meleagris (helmeted guineafowl). Its description in RNAcentral is "lncRNA (ENSNMEG00000002299.1)". The record is from RNAcentral. Lineage: Eukaryota; Metazoa; Chordata; Aves; Galliformes; Numididae.